RNA transcript from Mandrillus leucophaeus (drill), 725 nucleotides. It is a transcript of the gene named 40S ribosomal protein S5 pseudogene, with no coding region annotated. The transcript has a single exon. The record is from RefSeq and is a predicted model, not a curated record. NCBI's taxonomy places the organism in Eukaryota, Metazoa, Chordata, Mammalia, Primates, Cercopithecidae.
UCUGUGCCAGGGCGGCACGUGGUCCACGCCAAGCGACAGAGACUCUCAGGUUGUGCUCUCAGGAUGACCGAGUGGGAGACAGCAGCACCAGCGGUGGCAGAGACCCUUGACAUCAAGCUCUUUGGGAAGUGGAGCACCGAUGAUAUGCAGAUCAAUGACAUUUCCCCGCAGGAUUACAUUGCAGUGACGGAGAAGUAUGCCAAGUACCUGCCUCACAGUGCAGGGUAGUAUGCUGCCAAACGCUUCCGCAAAGCUCAGUGCCCCAUUGUGGAGCCCCUCACUAACUCCAUGAUGAUGCAUGGCCGCAACAACUGCAAGAAGCUCAUGACUGUGUGCAUCGUCAAGUAUGCCUUUGAGAUCAUAUACCUGCUCACAGGCGAGAACCCUCUGUAAGUCCUGGUGAAUGCCAUCACCAACAGUGGUCUCUGGGAGGGCUCCACACGCAUUGGGCGAGCCGGGACUGUGAGACAACAGGUUGUGGACGUGUCCCCACUGCACCAUGUGAAUCAGGCCAUCUGGCUGCUGUGCAAAGGAGCUCAUGAGGCUCCCUUCUGGAACAUCAAGACCAUUGCUGAGUGCCUGGCAGAUGAGCUCAUCAAUGCUGCCUAGGGCUCCUCCAACUCCUAUGCCAUCAAGAAGAAGGAAGAGCUGCAGCGUGUGGCCAAGUGUAAGCACCCAUUUUCCCGGCUGCUGCCCAAUAAACCUGUCUGCCCUUUGGGGCAACC